Neofelis nebulosa (Clouded leopard) is the source of this 13094-nucleotide long non-coding RNA. RefSeq lists it as uncharacterized. The record is from RefSeq and is a predicted model, not a curated record. The transcript has 2 exons. NCBI's taxonomy places the organism in Eukaryota, Metazoa, Chordata, Mammalia, Carnivora, Felidae.
CCUUCCUAUGCAUUAGCAGAUACUUUAUAAAAAGGACACUGAUGCUAUUUGAGUCAGGAAGAAUUUCUCAUAACAGGUGCUUUAGAAACUCACAAGACAAUGGCCCCUUCAGAGGGGCCUAAUUCCUACAGAAUUUCCACAUGAGGACACAUACCCUAGAGUCAAGCACAGCCUCUGAUCGCCUUACACAAACAUGAAGCUGUGAUUCAGGAAGUUAUUCUGUGCCUCUAUUAGCACACGCCACCUUGCAGAGUACUUUAACCCACUGCUAGUAAUCAAGGUGUGUUGCUCUUCCGGUCUAGAUGACUUAAGUAUGAAGGUACUGAUCAUUUAUCAGGGAAAGAGAGAAGGUACUGAAACAGAUUUUGAAAAUAAUUCAUAGAAGAACAUUAUGGGAGAGAGAGACUAGGAUCUAUGCUAAACUGAACAUCCAUCCCCAUUUGCCCAUGAAUGAGGUCAUUGCCAGGAUGUGGCACUUCCAGUGCUAAACAUGGAACGUUCUGCUCAACCGGGAAGAGACUUGGUCCUGACCAAAGUUCUGGAGACCAUGCUCAGGUUCAUUCAAUGCAUGAAGAAUUCUUGGCCAUCAUUUUUGUGUAUGUGUUGUUUUGCAAUUUUUAUCAUUGGCAUUUCACCCAGAAAUUGGGUUUACCACCCAUGGAAAUCAGAUGUUUUGGGGACCUCUGUGAAAUGGGGACAUGCAUACUAGAUAACUCUUCCUUGUGGAACAAAGGAGCCAUUUUGGAAAGAGCCUACCCUGGGGGCAGACAGUCCACAUGCAGGGCUGCUGCCAGGACAGGGGCUCAUUGAUUUCAGGGGAGGGAAGAUUCUACCUAUCACGGAGUCUCAAAUCAUAUUUUCUCCUGUUCAGAUUCCUUGGAUGUGGAGUUAAAGAUGAAGGGACAUUGGGGAAAAAAAACCCUUCCCUUUAUCUUCAUUCCCUCAGCUAUGUCUUAGAUCUUUUCUCAGGUGGUAUUACUUCAGUCACUGACAUGCUGAAGAAUGGCUCACCAAGGAGGCUCAUGUUGGCUAGGGCAAGGUAGAAACAACUGAAAAAUGUCUUAUAUUUCAAUCCUUAAAUGUGAGUUAUCCAUACAAUGGGAUAUAUUUUGGUAGUAAAAGUAACUAAAUACUAGUACAUGCUAGAACAUGGAUGCAACUUGAAAACAUCAUUCCGAGUGAAAAAAGUCAUUCCCAAAAGAUGUCCUAUUGUGCAAUUCCAUUUAUAUGAAAUGUCCAAACUGGGGAUGCUAUGGGGACAGAGUGUAGAUCAUUGAUUACCAGAGGCUGAGCAAAUUGGUGGGAAAUGGAAGAUGAAUGCCAAUAGUUACAGUGUUUCUUUUUAGGACAAUAGAAAUGUGAUAGCAGUGAUGUUUUCUCAAUUUGGAGAAUAUACUAAGAGCCACUGUUCUAAACUUGUGAGUUGUAUGCUAUCUAAAUAUAACUGAAAAAAACCCUUACCACACCCCCCCCCAAUAAACCAAAAAAGAGAAAGUUGGAAACUGGAUUUAAUAAGACAACAUCAAUUCUGGAAAACUGAAUUCAAGCCAGGCUGCACUGGUGUGUGAGAUGGAGCCAUUUAAAGUGAGGAUUCCCUGGGAAUUGCAGGAAGUGCACUGCACAGGCACUUCCUGGUCCUUAGUUCCCCCCAUUGCAGAGUUGGAAAGGAUCACUUUCUAGGACCAUAUCAAAAAAGCAAAUAGGCUCUGUCAUUUCCCAGACAAUUUGGCAGAAUGUGUUUCAUUUUACUUUAUCUUGAGAAGGAAGAGGAACAGAGACCUGAAUUCUCAAGACCAUGCUGCAUGAAGUCCCCUCUGCACAGGGUUGGAAGCAUCUUCAGAGCAAGGAGGGAGCCUUCACCCAUGGCUUGGAGGAAGGCAGGGGCAGAGGACCUGCUCUUUCCCACAUUACCCCUUCCCGGAAAACACAAUUCUGGCUGCACAGAAGGCUGAAGACUUAUUCAUCCCUGCUCUGAAUGAAGAGGAUGACCAAAGGCUUCCAGUCUAACUGAGCUCUAGUAGCCCCUUUUCCAGAAACCAAAACCUGGCUGGGAACAUGGCAUUCCCUUUCCACCUCUCCUUAGGGUGGGUGCUCACACCUCUCUCUGUCCCCAGCCUCUGCAGUGGCCUGAGAUUGGGUCUGGGACUAAGUUUUAGGGUUGUUUACUGUAUUGUGCAGAGAAGGGACAAGAGACUUAAGAGUUUUCCCCCUUAGGAGGAAAGGGGAGAAAGAAGCUGAUGCCUGGAGAAACCUCAGCAGGACUUUGGCAAUGGGGUUUGGUGGGGGGAUGUCAUUGCAGUCCCCAAAUCUAGGCUCUUGCUGCCCCCUGGUGGCUUAGCUGAGACAGCCCAAAACCAAGAAUAAAGAGGAGACUAGGGAAUCGGCUUCACCUCCCUUCCACCCUUUCUCCCUCUCCUUCCAAAAUGGAAUUUGCUCCCCACUCACCACCCCUGAUGUCUGUGUAAUGCACUCUAUGCUCCAUGGAUAAGUUCCUGAAGCUCCAUCUAGAGUAGAAUCUGUCACCUGACACACUCCCAGCUCAGGACCACUAGCUUCCCCAGGGACCUUUGUCAAUGGAUCACUACCUGGGAGGCAGGUCUCUAUUCAGAGCAAGAGGAAUGUGGAAUAAAAAUUGAAGCCAAUCCUGGCAGUAGACGUGCAAGAGAGAAAUGGGACAAAGAGAAAACAUUUUGGAGUUUUUAAAUGUCUGACAUAAAACUCAAGAGGGGAGAAACUGAGGAGGUUCUAGGAACCCUGGAAAAGAUUUUGUGUUCUUAGCAGGUGAGGAGGAGUUGGACAGGGCUCAAAGGAGCCUCGGCCUGAGGGUCUAGCUCUAAGCACCUCCUGUCAGAGGGGAGUCCUGUCUGGGAAAUCUCGGACUCUAGUUCCACCCAUGAAGAGAUGUGUGAGUUUUUUUUAACACAAAGUUGUAUGUAGGGAAUUGAGAGCUAAACUGUGGCUCUAGAGAUAUCAGGUGUAAUCAUUUACAAGUUCUGUAAUUGUUAUCACAUUUGGAGAAAGGUCCUAUACAAAUAUGGUUAAAUUAGGAUCUUGAGAUGGGAAGAGUGUCCUGGAUUGAGAUAAGAAAAGGGCCUGGAUAUAUAUCACAAGUGUUCCUAUGAGAAAGACACAGGGAGAUUAUACACACACACACACACACACACACACACACAAACACACCGGAGAUGACCAUAUGAAGGAGAAGGCAGAAAUUGGAGUGAUGGAGCCACAAGCCAAGGAAUUAUGGCCACGACCAGCAAUAGGAAAAGGCAAGGAAUGGAUCUACUUAGAGCCUCUGGAAGAAGUUUGGCCCCCCACUAACACGUUGAUGUUGGCCCAGUGUUGGUGAUUUCUGACCUCUGGCCUCCUGAACUGUGAGGGAAUAAAUUUCUUUUGAUUAUUGCUGUCCAGUCUGUGAUUUGUCACAGCUGCCACAGGAAACUCAUACAUAAAGUCAGUACUCUACUCUGGAAUGACUGGACAUUGCAGAUCUGGCUUCCUAAGGAGUUUGUUACUAGAGUUAGAGCUCUCAGCCUCCCAGUCUCCCUGCUCCCCUUCCUUACUUGCUCUGAUCACAGGGUGGGCAGUACUUUUUUGGUGGUCCAUCUGUCUUGCCCUGAGGGGCUCUGGACUCUUGACCAUUUCCAACACCCACGAAGGUCAGGCAUCCUUGCUGGUACCUCUCCCUUUGCCACUCACUUGACUUCUACGUUUAAGCCUCACCAACAGGCUUCUAUCACUUCCAGGUCCUGCCAUCUCUAUUGCUACCACAGAACCCCCUUCUUCCCUGCCUCCCCUACCUGGCCCUAGCUUAGAGGAGAGCCACCCACUGAACUUUUUGAUGAUCCUGGUGCUUCUCUGCCAGCACAUUCCUCAUUGCUCAAGUAAAUGCUGUGUCUGCCAGGCCCUCUUGAGAAUCAUCUACGCUGGGGAGCUGUCCAGCCUUACCUGGUAGAGCCACUCCUGCCAAAUGCUUCUGAAGCCAUCAUUUUCUCAGUCUUUCUAAGGGUCAUCGUCCUGGCAGUGAGCUUGCAGAUUGUCUCAACAUCCUUGGCAGUUAAGAGUGCUUCUAAUAGGGCUUCUAAUAAUAAACUCCCUUCAUCCAAACUGAGUUUCUGCCCCUUGAUCCUGCACCCUCACAAUCCAGCCCUGUGCAUGCUCUUCCAGUUCCUACCGUAUAUAAUUGAUUGGUUGUGCAGCUCCUAUGCCCCUGUACACCCUCUUGUCCUGGUUUUGUGCUGACAUAAUCCUACUUAUUGGCCCACAGGCCUGCAUGACAGGAAGGGAUGGAUCCACUCCCCACCGGGGGGUGGUGAAUAUUAUUUCAGAGCACAAGCUUCUGUACCAUCUCCAAGCAAUGGCAGGGUAGGGAUGAGCCUUAAAUUAAGAGAGGGUCACUUCUGUCAGCUUGUAUAUCUCAGGGGAAUUAUUGAUUCAAGACUUUUGGGCGCUUGGAUCCACAUGGCUCCUUCUUGUGGCUCAGGACCUGUAGUUAUCCAUUCAGGGCCCUGACUGGCAUAUAGCAAAGCUGCCUGGUGGAGAGAUCACUGUUUUCUGGAGGUCUGCUACUCUGAGGACUGAGUUCUGGGCCUCAGCUUUCCCCGACCUCUGCACAGGUAGGAUGCCUUUUUCAACUAAUAAGGAGGACUUUUGGCUUUCAUUCAAGGCCUGUCCUUGCUGAUUUGUACUCCCAGCCUUUUACGUUUUGCAAAUUAUCAAUUGCACUUAGCAAGACUCUUAAAACAGUGAAAGCAGUAGGGUUGUCCCCACACUCUUCAAAAGUACCCGUUUCCUUGUAUUUCUCAAUUGCCUGACACGUGGCCCUGCUUUUGCAUAUUGUCCUACAGGUAAACCACCUCUGUUCCCCUCCAGUAAAAAUUUAAACAAUUACAUUACUCUAUGUUCUCCUAUCCCUAAACCCCUAGUUGGAGUCUUCAUUGCUCCAGAAUCUCAUUUCUGUGUCUCCUUUCUCAGACAUACCUGCCCCUAGAGUAGUUCAGGACUGUCCUAGUUUUAGGCCUGACUGCUCCCUGUCCUGAAAUACCCAUAAGUCUCAGGCAAACCAGGCUAAUUAGUCACCCUCGUGAUGCCACCUGUCGUGGGCCAGGUCUUCCUGGACACCGAUGCUGAGGUGGAAGUGAGCACAUAGAAGAGUGCUGUUGGUGUCACCCCUGCCCCAUGCAAAGGAAGAGAAGAAGCAGGAUCAGGGAAUGAGCCCCCGUGGUGUGACACUUCAGCCCCUCCCAGGGGCACUCGCCCAGAGACGGACAUGCAGAAGACAAAAGGAGGACAGUGCCUGAGAAGAAUAAAGGGGAGAGAGAGCAGGAGUCAGCAGGGAGAGCCUACAGACAGCAGUGGAGAUGUAUCCGCUGAGAAGAGAGAAGGGUGCAGAGGAGGAUUAGAGAGUAAGAGCCUCCAAACUCAGAGCAGCAGUGAGAAAAUCUCAACCUGCCCGUUGGGGAGCUCCAGAGCAGAGGUAAGCAUAGAGAAAUCCCAGUUUUGAGAAUCGGCGAGGCCUUUCACAUUGACAUGCUCAGUCACUGCCAGGCAACUGCCCAGGAAGCACAUCCCUUAACUAGAAAGCUAAGGCAGAUCCUGAAGAUACCUGUACUGACAUCCUGGAGGCAGGUUUCCUUAGGCAGGCAGAUCUGAAAGGCUCAUCUGUGGUUGCCCUACUUGGGCUAUGGUGUAGUCUUAGCCAACUCCAGGGGCGUUUCUGGAGCUGAGGCAGCCCUUUGCGUGUUCCCAUAUUACAGCAGGACAGCCUGGACUGUAUCCUGGUGCAUCCAACAAUCACUACAUGCAGGCUGCUCCGGAGAGGGACAUGACUUUGAGAGGGCAAAUCCCUCCUGGGAGAGAAGUUUCAGGAGAACACUGGAAGGUGAGGACUCUCUGUCCCUCCAGCAUCAGGGAUGACAUGACUUUCAUGGAAUCUGGGCCACUCAUCAUAGCAUCCGCUUCAUUGGCCCAGCAGCAAAUGGUCAUUUUCACUUCUCUCAGUCAACAAGCCCCUAUAAAGGCUAGGAAUGAGAAGUCUUAUGGAGCAGGGAACACACAGAACAUUUCCACUAUAACAUACUACACAUUUAAAAACCCCAAGCAUGUGAACCCCUUGUUCAACUUGGGAAGCGUCUCAGGAAUUGGGGGCGGGAGGAAGAGCCUGCAAAACUCAUGUGUCUGUUGCUAUAGGCGUGUUUAGAAAUCAGCAUAUCCUCAGAAAUUGAAUAACCAUAAAAUGCCUGUGCAUAAAUAACAGGGUCAGAGACCUGCCACCAGACUGGAAGUUGUGCUGGAUGGGGUGCCAAUCCCCGUGGUCUGGGGUCCACAAGGCAGAGGUCCCAUGGAGGUCAGUAGAAGGUACUGGAUGCUUCCUGCAAGAAGUAAGCAGAGGGUUUCUCUUCAGUGAUAUAUUACUGGUGGAUUUUCAGGCACUCCAAGAUACAGGAAUCACUAUCUUAUUUAAUUUGUUCAAGAAUAAUUUGCCCACACAAUCAAUCACGAUGCAAACAUAAGAAGUACAAUGGUUUCAAAUUAAGAAAUAAAAUGAUAAUUUGAAUUAGACAUGAUUUAUAACCUAUAAAAACAAAGUGAAUUUCCUGGAUGACAUUAAAAACUAAUUUGCUGUACACCUGAGUUUUAUCAGUGGGAGGGCAUAAACACAAAGGAAGCUUGUACAGUACAAAUUAAAAGGGCACAAUAGUUGGGGAAGAUCUCAAAAUGUAUGAUAUGCAGAUGUAUCACAUUCUUACCAUCACUAUAACAAUCUAUCAUAAGCUUAGGGGCUUAAAAUAAUAGAAAAUUAUUUUCUUACAGUUCUGGGAGCCCAGAUUCCAAAAUGAGGCUGACAGGACUGAAAUCAAAGAGUCGGAUGGGCUGGCUCCUUCUGGAGUUUCCAGGGGAGCAUCGGAUAUCUCACUCCUCCAGCUACUAGAGGCCACCAGAAUUCCACGUAGCUGGUAGCUAUGUGAUGCUAGUUGCUGCUCUGUGGUCACCACGCUUUCUCCUUUUCCGUCCUCAGGUCUGCCUCUGAGGUCUGCCUUCCUGUUAGAAGGACACUCAUGAUUACAUUCUGGAGCACCAGAUAAUCCAAGAUAACGUGCCUUGACUUUCUGUUAGUCAGGGUUCUCCAGAGGAGAACCAAUGGGAGAUACAUAGAUCCACAUACAUAUAUGAUUAUUUGAUUCUGGAGGGUGGGAAUUUCCACAAUCUGCAAGCUUGGAGACCCAGGGAAGCUGUUGGUGUGAUUCAGUCUGAGGCUGAAGAUCGGAGAACCAGAAAUGCCGAUGUUGCAAAUCCCAGUCCGAGAACAGAAAAAGAUGGCGUAAGACAUUCCAGCUCAAUAGUGAGACAGGAAAAAAUAAAAGUCAAGUUCCUCCUUCCUCGGCCUUUUGUUCUAUUCAGGCCCUCAAUGGAUUGGAAGGUGCCCACCCAUAUGGGGGAGAGCAUCCCACUUUGCUGAGUCCACCAGUUCAAAUGCUAAUCCCUGGAAUUCAUCUGGAGACACCCUCACAGACAUACCAGAAAAUCAUGUUUAAUUUGGUCUCCACAUGGCCAGUGAGGUCAGCAUGUAAAAUGAACUGACACAGUCCCUACAUCAAGAUCCUUAAUCACAUCUGCAAAGUGCCUUUUACCGUAGAGGUAACAUUCACAACUUCCAAAGGUUAGAACUGGAUAUCUUUGGGGGCUAAUACUCAGGCCACCACACCUACUGAGGUGCAUGUGCAGGAAACACUCUGAGGGGCUGUUCUCAAUCUGUUUUGCACAGUCGUGCCCUAAUAUAUUCCAGAAACGGGAGCUCUCUGCAACCUAUGUUUAGAAGUCACUAUUAAACGGCCUGUUGUUUUCUUUAGCUAAUUCCAAUACUCAGGGAAACCUGGGAGGCUAUUUGUACUGUUUGAGCCUCCACAAAGGGAGAACUCCAGGAAAAGAAAAGUUCCAGAAAUACCCACUGGUACAAUCCUGUCCUGUUCACAGUCGAGCUCGUAGUGCUCUUGUCAUUACCUAAGCAAUGAGCCACCCAGCCACCCCACUUGCUAUUGCCUCCAUUCAAAGAAGUAUUAACAGGACGUUUUCCUUACACAAUUAAAGAAAUUUUAGGAAAUCGCCUAUGUAUUCUCACACUUGUCCCCAGCAGGUUUAUUUUUUAAGGCUUCCAUCCCUCCCAUCGCAGGCAUGGAGGGGUUUCCAGUGUGAAGUCCCCAGGACAUCCUGGGCAGUGCCUCUCAACCUCCUGCUCCUUCCUCCUUUGAUGUCUGCAAAGAUGCCAGGCCCAGCCCCUGGCCAGAGUUACAGAAACAAAGGACAAAAUGACCAGGAUGUGAUGCCACCAGGGAGAGGAGAGGCCUCUCCCGCCAGUCCCUGUGAAGUGGCUGCUUCUCCGGGAGGAGAAAAUAAGAAGCAUGAAGCACCACUGGAGGCCCAGAUCUGUUUGCAAGUUCCCUAGUGGACUGAGCAAACAUUAAUGAUACACGGGGAUGUGCUUAUUUCUUUUCUUUCAUCUAGCUGGAUAACUGGAAUCAGGCCAGGAGAGUGGCACACCAGACAAACCCAGCAGCUUUUUUUUUUUUCCACAGAUGGGACAAAAGAACCAAUUGGGAAAUAUUUCACUGAAAUGAAGAGGCCAAUGCAUGUGCAAAGCUUGGUACAGGGACAGUGGGUUGGGGUCUGUGGGAAGGCAAUUCUGUACAGAGCCUGUCCCUCUGGACAGGUCUGUCCCUCUAAUUCUCCCCCAUUUCUGUCCCAGGAAGUACUGUUGGAGUGUCAGGUCAAAGGAGAGACCCUAAAGGGAGGGUCUCAUCUAUCCCCCCUUCUCUUUAUUCCUUCUGCAAAUCUUGAAGGCUUUCUUGUUACCAGAGCUUUGGCAAUGGACUUGCAGAAGAAUGACCCCAAUAAAGGGCCAUCUUGAACAGAAUGUGGUGAAAUCAAAGUUGAAUACAUGGGUGUCGCCUGUGAUAUGGACCAGUUGGUUUAGGGGGAAUUUAACUAUCAGUUUGUGCUUGGAGCAUCUUGAAUGCACCAGACAAGACUCUUUGGAUCCCCUGCUCAUGACUUCCAUGCAUCGGAUGGCAUCCAUAGUCUGGGCCCUGUUACUCAGCAGAGAUGGUCUUAUUUUCCCAGAGACCUGUGACCCAGAGAGGAUUCCUUGUGUCCUUCAUUAAGAGCCAGAAGAAGAAUUCAGAGAGAAACCCAGCCACAGAAGCAGAAAUGUCCCGGUACAGAAAGAAGCAGGGAUAAGAGUAGGGAAGAGUCCCAUGAGCUCAGAGCAGAGUUUGCUCUCACUUCCCUGGUGGGCUAAGUACCAGCGCUCAAAUAUGACACAUAGUCAUAAUCUGCCUUGUCCUCAGGGUGGAGCCUGGAGAUGGUAGGGAAGCUGGGCUGCUGGAUCUCGAGCCAGAGAAAUGGUACGAGAUUCCAGAAGGCUAAGAACCGACAGUAUCAAUUGGAGUUUAGAGGCAGUGCCUGGGCCUCAUUGGUGCCAGGACACCUCAUGAUAUCCCCAGGCUCACUGCUGCUUCCAGAGCUUCUGUCCCAGAGCCCUGGAUGCUGAGGAACAUUGAGUCAGGGCAGACUGAGCCCCAAGCUUGAAAGCAAAAACAAAGAUAGUUGGUAAGUUUAGGACCAAUGCUCUAAUUGAGCAAGAAUAAGUUCACCCAAAAUCAACAAUGGAGUAUUUCAUUUAGAGCCCACCUCCUGAGCCCACAGCUGGGCAGGACGGCCCUGGAUGGGGUUGUUUAUCCCACCAGGCUGCCCAGUUUUGGAAUGGAGACUGGAGAGUGGGGUUCAUGCCUAUCUGCUCACCGAGCCUUGACCAUUUUCACUGCCUUAUCUGGUUCCAGACCCUGAGUCUGGGGCCCUCCAAAAUGUUGUGCUUCCUGGGACCCUUGCCAGGAAGGUAUGGUUGAAAGAUCUGUUUCAAAAUAGAUCUGAGGCAGAGUCCCAAGGGAGACAGAGCUGCUGAGCAGAGGUUACUCAAGGGAGAAGAGCUGAAACCACAGGACUCCAGAACUGUAAGUCCAAGUUCAUUCAGGGGUUCCACAACAGUCCAAACAAACGUUCAUGAUAUAUAUAUCUAUAUAGUAAGUCAUUCCUUCAUCUCUUUCUGUCAUUGAAAUCUCAGGAGCAGUUUAGAGCACCAGUGAGCCUAACCCUCACUCUCCCUAGGAGACGGGGCAGAGCCCUGGAUGGUGGUGAGGGACCCUGGUGCCCAAACAAGGGCUCCUUGCUGUGUCCCUGAUUGUGGCUGCAUCUGCCAUACAGAGGUAAACACACUGCUUACCGUGGCUUCUCCUAGGCCACAGUCCUAGCAACACUACCACCCUCUCCCCUACCCUUGGAAACGGGUUGUGUCGGACUCAUCCCUGUCUUACCUGCUGUGAUGCACAUAAUAAAUAGAUGCCCAGGGGCUCAAUCUCCAAUAUGGUGGCCACUAGCCACACGUGGUUAUUAAGCACUUGAAAUAUAUCUAGUGACCCUGUGGAAUUGAAUUUUUAAUUUAACUCGAUCUAAAUUUAAAUUUAAAAUAUGACCAUUCGGUUAUCGUUUGGAGCAACUUGAGUAUGUGAAUGAAUCUACUUUUUCAACCAAAUUUUAUGAAAUCUAAAUACAGAUCAAGCAUUACUAAUGAAAAUUUAGCCAUGAACUGAGAUUGCAAUGAACUGAGAAAGAUUUAGAAGACUUAGUACCAAAAGAAUGAAGGUAAAAUAUCACAGUAAUGAUGUUUAAAAUAUUGACUAUAUGUUGAAAUAGUAAUAUUUUGAAUUCAUUAUAACCCAAUAUGUGUUCUACAUUUAAUAAUAAAAUAUAUUAUUGAAAUUAAAAAAGAAAUUCUUGCCAGAGUCCUCCCCUUUUAGAGACCAUAUUCCAGACACAUCAUUAUGCAUCCAAAAGAGUGUUUGCCCAUAUAAAUUAGGCAUAAUUCAUUAGUCCCAGAUUUUAAUGCUGUGUUCAUAAUUCUCUGCCUCAGCACGCCCAAAGUAUUAUAAAGUCCAUGAAAGCAUUGCUAGCUAGUUAUUGAAUGAAUAGAAGAAAAUAAAUAUUACAUAUAUUUAUGAUUGUAUAUGAAGAGGAUUAUAUUGUAUGUGCUUAGCUGUACUUGAUUAUUUUUUUUACACCUAACAGUGGAGACGUUGCAAAUUUAACACGGUGCCUGAAGACUUCUUAGAUAUUUUUUUUCAUAUUUGCUUCUCUCUCAUUCUUCCUAAUGUCAAGGGGUCAAGAUGAAGUUCCAGGUGUUACCUUUGACCCUCACUCACCCUUAUGACCUGAAUCCUCUCCAAAAGCAAGCCCUGCUGGUCUACCUCCAGGAUGUCCCCAAAACCAGAGAGGCAAGCCAGGAUCUCCCACGAGAACCACAUAGCAACCAUAGGGACCUUGAAAUGUACCUGAGGUUAUGUCAUAACCCUACUCACAAACUCCGUAUUAGCAUGGCUUGUAGGAGAUUCAAUAAUAAUAUAACUAUAUAAAUAGAAAAGAAUCACCACCAAGCAUCUCACCACUUGGGAAAAGCCAUGUUUUUAUUGUUUUGUAAACAACUGUUCCAAGUCAGCUGUUCUCAAACUUUUUGGUUCCAGUAUCUUUUUAUACUCCUAAAGAUUAUGGAGUUACCCCCAAAGAUUUUGUUCGUGUGGAUAACAUCUUUCAACGUUUACCAGACUAAUUAAAAUUGAAAAACAUUUUUAAAAUGUUUACUUUAAUUAUACAUAACAAUACUAAGCAAACCACCGGUAAAUAAAUAUAAUUUAUACGUAUUUUAUUAUAUGCAAGUGUACCUCAGAUAUAUUGUCAGUUCAGUUCCAGACCACUGUAAUAAAGUGACUAUCACUGAAUUAAUAUCACAAAUAUCAAUAAAGAGAGCCAAAUGAAUUUUUUGGUUUCCCAGUGCAUAUGAAAGUUAUGUUUACAUCAUACUGUAGUCUAUUAAGUGUGCAAUAGCAUUAUGUCCAAAAAAACAAUGUACAUACCUUAAUUAAAAAUACUUUAUUGCUCAAAACAGCUAACCAUCAUCUGAGAUUUCAGUGAGUUGCAAUCACUGUCGCCACAAAAAUAUAAUAAUAAUGAAAAAAGUUUUCAAUAUUGUGAGAAUUACCAAAAUGGGGCACAGAGACACAAAGUAAGCAAAUGCUAUUGGAAAAAUGACAUAGAUAGACUUGCUCAAUGCAGGGUCAUCACAAACCUUCAAUUUGUAAAAACAAACAAACAAAACCAAAAACCCAGUAUCUGCAAAGUACAAUGAAAUGAAAUAGGACUGCAUUCGAAGACUAGAAAAAAAAAAUGAGGCAUUGAAUUUUUUUUCCUUUCCGCAAAUCUUUUUAAUGUCUGGCUUACUGUAAAACUGUUGGAUGUGCACAUUGACUUCUGCACUAAGUCUGUUGCAACAUGUUGCGUUGGUUGAUGUGUGUAAAGAAAAACUUCCCUCACAGAGAUUGGAGGCACAGAGGAACCCUUUGUACUGAAGCGAUCCCAAGAAAGAAGUGCAUGAAGGUGUGAGGCCUGGUUUUAGGGCAGUGGUCAGAGAGCAGAGGGGAGGGGCUAGUGUGGGGCAGAAGAAUGGUCAGUCACCUAAAUGUUCCCCUGGUUGAUGCCCAUGAACUAAGAGAAGUAUGACAGCAGGGACACUGAAAGCUUAAGAGCAAAGUCUCCUACCUCUUGCUAUUCCCAUAGUGAAACUUGCUGAGCUUUCUCACAAGAGGCUUUAACAAUGGAUUUGAGCUUAAAAAUAGGAUUGGAAGUCUCCUUAUUUGAGGACAGUAGAGGAUGCAUCCUGUGAUGACUUUUGCAUAAUCUCUUCCCCUAGAAUUUAGGAAGACCUGUGAUUUGCUUCUACUCAAUAAGCACUGCAAAGGUGAUGAGAUGUCUCUCCUUGAUUAGGUUACAUUAAAUGGAAAACAUGGCUGGAUGUCACUCCUGUGAUUACAUUAUGUGCUGUAAGAUUCCCUCUUAAUGAGAUUUUGCUAUUUACACCAACGUGGAUGAACCUAGAGGGCAUUGUGCUAAGUGAAAUAAGUCAGACAGAAAAAGGAAAACAUCAUAUGAUUUCACUUAUACGAGGAAUCUAAAAAUACAAAACAAAUGGAAAAAACAACAACAAAAAACAA